AAACAAACAAGAGUGAGUCUGAUAUUAUCACAUGAGACUGAAAAUGUUUCAGGACUAAUGGAGUUUUGUACAUUCCCUCAUGACACUGUUCCUGACAGUCCAGCAAAAAAAGACAGCAGAGUAAAGGCUGCCUUCAUUCCAUGACAGAAUCUCCCUCCAGAAGAUGAUGAUGUGGCCUCCCCAAUAGAGCUCCCUCCAGAAGACAAUGACCUGGCUUUCACAGCCAUGUUCUCUCCAGAAGCCAACGAGGUGGCCUCUCCAGCAGAGUCCCCUCCCGUGGCCAAUAAGGUGGCCACCAUAGCCGCAAUCCCUCCAGAAGCCAACAAGGCAGCCUCCACUGCCAAGCUCCCUCCAGAGGCCGAUUAGGUGGCCUCCCCAACAUAGCUCCCUCCAGAGGCUGACAAGGUGGCCUCCACAGCCGAGCUCCCUCCAGUGGCCUCCCCAGCAGAGCUCUGCUUUUGCCUUAGGCCAACAGCACAGCCUCCCACAUCACACCAUACCUCCACCACCUGACCCUAGCGAGUUCACCAUUGCUCCCCCACCAGACUCUCCUUUCUGUUUCAUGUUGUUAUCUUCCACUUCUCAUUCUGUUCCCUAGUUUGUGUAUAUUGGAUUAUCCCUGCCAUUGCUGUUCACUAAUCGCCUGACCUCUGCCUAUGUACUGAUUCCAAAUUUUGACUCACGUUUUAGAUUUGUCUGCCUGCCAUUCGAAUGAAAUGCCUAAAUGCACUUGCAUCUGUCUCAGCCUUCAUUCCAUAAUACCACCACUAUAUUUCACUGUUAACUGCAGUAUGGCCUGCAUUAUGUUUGCAAUACACAUAGUGCUUUGAAACUUGCCCAAAAACAGUAUCAUGAUCUUGGUCUCAUCACACUGAAAAAACACAACUUCACUGAGUUCAUUCUUGUGCUUUCAUAUGGCUCUUCGUGACAACAGUUUCUUUCUAGCCACCCUCCCAUAUAGUCCUCAAUCAUGCAGAGCUCUUGUAAUGGUUGUCUGGAGAUCUUCACUACACUCUGUACUCUGUUAUUUUUCUGAGGGAUUGUUGACCUCAAUGUGGUUUCCCUCACCAGUCUCUUUCUUGUAUCUGCACUGAAUUUUUGAGGGAUGGCCUUGUCUAGGUAGUGCUUGGGUGGUGUGAUUCAGCUUACACCUCCUCACUAUUAAUCUAGCAAUGCUAACUCGGAUGUCCAACCUCUUAGAUAUAAUUUACACCCUAUUUCUAAGUUAUGAAAUUCUAUUACCUUAAAAUGUUCCUUAGUCUUCAUUUUCACUAUUUUUCUUCAGACCGACAUUCUCGUCAAUGACAGUAUAACUGAGGUGUUUUUCCUUUUUUUUUCUUUCUUUUUUUAUAAAAAAGGACCUAUUUUAAUAUUUCACAGGUAAAUGUCAAUUAUAAGGCAAGUGUGUCCACAUUAAGACAAUAUCUUUCAACUGGAGCUUCCAGAACCUGGGGGUUUGAAUAAAUAUGCAAGCAGC
Long non-coding RNA from Ictalurus punctatus (channel catfish), 1477 nucleotides. Lineage: Eukaryota; Metazoa; Chordata; Actinopteri; Siluriformes; Ictaluridae. The record is from Ensembl.